AGCUUGCUCUCUUGGUGGCGAGUGGCGGACGGGUGAGUAAUAUAUCGGAACCUGCCCGGUCUGGGGGGAUAACUACUGGAAAGAGUGGCUAAUACCGCAUACGCCCUACGGGGGAAAGGGGGGGAUCUCAGGACCUCUCGUGUUGGAUGGGCCUAUAUCGGAUUAGCUAGUUGGUGGGGUAAAGGCUCACCAAGGCACGAUCCAUAGCUGGUUUGAGAGGACGACCAGGGACACGGGAACUGAGACACGAUCCACACUCCUACGGCAGGGAGCAGUGGGGAAUUUUGGACAAUGGGGGAAACCCUGAUCCUGCCAUCCCGCGUGUAUGAUGAAGGCCUUCAGGUUGUUUAGUACUUUUGGCAGACAAGAAAGAGUAUCCCCGAAUACGGGAUACUGGUGACGGUAUCUGCAGAAUAAGCACCGGCUAACUACGUGCCAGCUGCCGCGGUAAUACGGAGGGUGCAAGCGUUAAUCGGAAUUACUGGGCGUAAUGCGCGUGUAGUCGGUUUGGAAAGAAAGAUGUGAAAUCUCCAGGGCUCAACCUUGAGAACUGCAUUUUUGACUGCCGAGCUAGAGUAUGUCAGAGGGGGGGUAGAAUUCCACGUGUAGCAGUGAGAUGUGUAGAUAUGUGGAGGAAUACCGAUGGCGAAUGCGGCCCCCUGGGAUAAUACUGACGCUCAGACACGAAAGCGUGGGGAGCAAACAGGAUUAGAUACCCUGGUAGUCCACGCCCUAAACGAUGUCAACUAGCUGUUGGGGCCGUUAGGCCUUAGUAGCGCAGCUAACGCGUGAAGUUGACCGCCUGGGGAGUACGGUAGCAAGAUUAAAACUCAAAGGAAUGGGCGGGGACCCGCACAAGCGGUGGAUGAUGUGGAUUAAUUCGAUGCAACGCGAAAAACCUUACUUACCCUUUCCAGAUAUGGAAAGAGAGAGAGAUUUGCCCGUGCUCGCAAGAGAACCGGAACACAGCUGUUGCAUGGUCGUCGUCAGCUGGGGUCGUGAGAUUUUGGGUUAAGUCCGGCAACGAGCGCAACCCUUGUCAUUAGUUGUUACGCAGGAGCAUUUUAAUGAGACUGCCGGUGACAAACCGGAGGAAGGGGGGGAGGACGUCAAUUCUUCAUGGCCCUUAUGGGUAGGGCUUCACACGUCAUACAAUGGUCGGGACAGAGGGUAGCCAACCCGGGAGGGGGAGCCAAUCUCAGAAACCCGAUCAUAGUCCGGAUGGCAGUCUGCAACUCGACUGCGGGAAGUGGGAAUCGUUAGUAAUCGUGGAUCAGAAUGUCGCGGUGAAUACGUUCCCGGGUGUUGUACACACCGCCCGUCACACCAUGGGAGUGGGUUUCACCAGAAGUAGGUAGCCU
RNAcentral lists this ribosomal RNA (1361 nucleotides) under Alcaligenes sp. NWU26. RNAcentral's name for it is "bacterial SSU rRNA". It matches the Rfam family "Bacterial small subunit ribosomal RNA", at positions 77 to 1436 of the family's 1533-position model. Lineage: Bacteria; Pseudomonadati; Pseudomonadota; Betaproteobacteria; Burkholderiales; Alcaligenaceae. The record is from RNAcentral.